This 424-nucleotide long non-coding RNA is filed under the name Pan troglodytes (chimpanzee). Its description in RNAcentral is "lincRNA". The record is from RNAcentral. Lineage: Eukaryota; Metazoa; Chordata; Mammalia; Primates; Hominidae.
ACGUGAGCUUGGAAGGAGACCUUUCCCCAGCUGAGUCUCAGCCUGGGCCAUCACCUGCAUCUGGACUGAAGACCCAAAGAAACUACUCCAUCAGGAAUUGUUUGAGACCAUGCAUUCUGUGGACACUCAUAUCGUGGAAUUAUAUUGCCAAUUGGCAUUCCUAAAGCUUCUACGCUAGCAGGUUUGGAGUAAUUCACCAGUGAAGUCUUCUCAACCUGGGCAAUCAUGUGAGCUUGGAAGAUGAUGCAUCCCCAUCUCAUCUUUCAGGUGAAACCUCAGCCUUGGCCAUCACCUACAUCUGGAUUUCUGACCCAGAGAAACUAGAAAGCAGUCAGGAGGUUAUUCGAGGAUGCUGGGCUCCCCUCACAAAUCUGUUUCUCAAAGUAUUGCAGAAAGGUGUGUCUUCUGGACACUCCCAGAGUAG